CGGAUAAGAGGCUGAAACUCGCCUCUUUGAAGUCGGAAUCGCUAGUAAUCGCAGAUCAGCAUGUUGCGGUGAAUACGUUCCCGGGUCUUGUACACACCGCCCGUCAACCCAUGAGAGUCACCAACACCCGAAGUCCGCCUUGGCGGCCUAAGGUGGGGAGAUGAUUGGGGUUAAGUCGUAACAAGGUAAC
RNAcentral lists this ribosomal RNA (190 nucleotides) under uncultured bacterium. RNAcentral describes it as "partial 16S ribosomal RNA". It matches the Rfam family "Bacterial small subunit ribosomal RNA", at positions 1294 to 1500 of the family's 1533-position model. The record is from RNAcentral.